RNAcentral lists this long non-coding RNA (536 nucleotides) under Ananas comosus (pineapple). RNAcentral's name for it is "long non-coding RNA (ACOM_LNC040439)". Lineage: Eukaryota; Viridiplantae; Streptophyta; Magnoliopsida; Poales; Bromeliaceae. The record is from RNAcentral.
AGUAUCUUUCACUACAACAAAAAUGGUCUAUAGCGACACUUUUAAAUAUAGGUACAUGUCAAAAAAGUACUGCUAGCUAAAAUUACUGACACUUUUAAAAAGUGUUGCUAUAUGUGGGGUCGCUAGGUAUAUAGUGACAGUUAAAGAGUGUCGCUAUAACCUAAAAGAGUGCUGCUAAUUUACCAACACUUAUUUAAGCAUUUAGCAACCGCCGAAACUCUAUUUCGUUGGCAGCGGUGGCGGAGGAGGACGACAGGAAAGGCUCUUCGUCUAGAAUUUCAGUGGAUUGAGUGAAGAGAGAAGAAAAGAUGGUAAUUAAUUUUUCUUUUUUUUUUUCUUUUCUGUUUGUAAUCGGGUCAAAUGGACUGGGUGUGGUGGGUUGAGUAGAGUAAUCUUUUAUUUUUAGUUGGAUUGGGCUUUAUAUUUAGGCAUAAGUAGAUGUUUUUUUAAAUUUUAGCAUAAAUGGGACACUUACUCAAAAGUGUCCCAAACAUGUGUCCCUAUAAUCUAAUUCUGUUGUAGUGUUUAGUUGAAAU